RNAcentral lists this ribosomal RNA (584 nucleotides) under Streptochilus sp. Its description in RNAcentral is "partial small subunit ribosomal RNA". The stretch from base 1 to 314 matches the Rfam family "Eukaryotic small subunit ribosomal RNA", at positions 1312 to 1501 of the family's 1831-position model. The record is from RNAcentral. Lineage: Eukaryota; Foraminifera; Rotaliida; Bolivinitidae.
UAUUGGAUCUAUAUACCGUGCAUGUGUUGCGGCAUUGACCCCAUUGAUUUCACUAUCAAUGCGCGCGUCUUUCGCUUAGCUCACUGCGCUUUAGAUCCUGAAAGCAACGAACGUGACCGCAACCUCUUGUUGCUUUCAUACCCAAUGCUUGUUAUAUACUCGUGUAUAUCGCGCAUAAGAAAGCUUAUACAUGCAUUGCUACGGCAUUACAUCACAAACUAGAGGGACCGCUGUUACUUUCUUAAACCAGAGGAAGGUUGCGGCAAUAACAGGUCUGUGAUGCCCUUAGAUGUUCCGGGCUGCACACGUGCUACAAUGAUUAUUGCAGUGAGCAUCUCAUUUUUUAAUACACCGCAUGCGCCAGUCUAUUUGUCUGCUCUGCUUCGGCUAGCUGCUCAAAUACGAUCUCUGCGCGCGGUAAAGCCUACUUCGAAAGUAAGGGGGUAAUCAAUUAGAAGGAAUGAUUUCCUAUUUUCUCUGCACACAUAUAUGCGGCACAUCUACCCGGCAUGCCUUGGUGCAUGUUCUUUGUGCGUAGAUGUGUACCCUUUUUCCGCAUUGCCAUUGUCAAUUCAUGGUGGGGA